This 564-nucleotide long non-coding RNA is filed under the name Fukomys damarensis (Damara mole-rat). Its description in RNAcentral is "lncRNA (ENSFDAG00000022764.1)". The record is from RNAcentral. Lineage: Eukaryota; Metazoa; Chordata; Mammalia; Rodentia; Bathyergidae.
CUAAGGAUUGAAAAUUCAUCUUGACUCUUCUGGAAAUGUUCUGUUAACAACUAACCUGAGUAGUAUUCCAAUGGAAAAUUCUGAUUUAUCCCUUAUUCAUGCCCUAUGAGGGAUAUGGAAUCAAGACUAUUCCCAGUAUUAUCAGGAUCAGUGACUGCACACAUUGACAUAGGUUGGGAUGAUGAAUCAGAAAAAGAACCACAGAAUAGAGCGAAAUGUGUAAGGAUUAUUUUACGGCAAAGAAAACAAGAGUAUUCUGUGUUGAGAGCUAAAAAGUACAGGAGACCGCAGAAUAUGCUCCUUUUUGUGGGUGCUGCUACAUCUGGUCUCCCAACGGUCUCAGAAAGAAGGCAGCUGCACCAGUCCUAUUACUAUGAUCAGGACAAGGAGAAGCACUACCCAGGCAACUCUCAGGCGGGGUUGGUUUCUGCUCCUGGAGCCUCGCAGUUGUUUCAAGACUUAUUGCCGGUCAUCUUGCUUACCAGGUAGAAGCCAUUGACUAUGAUUUUCCUAAAAUAUUUCUAUUCUCAACCUUUAUCUGUCAGGACCGCAUACACACCACCC